RNAcentral lists this ribosomal RNA (446 nucleotides) under uncultured bacterium. RNAcentral's name for it is "partial 16S ribosomal RNA". It matches the Rfam family "Bacterial small subunit ribosomal RNA", at positions 29 to 523 of the family's 1533-position model. The record is from RNAcentral.
AACGAACGCUGGCGGCAGGCCUAACACAUGCAAGUCGAACGCAUCGCAAGAUGAGUGGCAGACAGGUGAGUAACGCGUGGGAACAUACCCUUUUCUACGGAAUAGCUCUGGGAAACUGGAAUUAAUACCGUAUACGCCCUACGGGGGAAAGAUUUAUCGGGGAAGGAUUGGCCCGCGUUGGAUUAGCUAGUUGGUGGGGUAAAGGCCUACCAAGGCGACGAUCCAUAGCUGGUCUGAGAGGAUGAUCAGCCACAUUGGGACUGAGACACGGCCCAAACUCCUACGGGAGGCAGCAGUGGGAAUAUUGGACAAUGGGCGCAAGCCUGAUCCAGCCAUGCCGCGUGAGUGAUGAAGGCCUUAGGGUUGUAAAGCUCUUUCACCGAUGAAGAUAAUGACGGUAGUCGGAGAAGAAGCCCCGGCUAACUUCGUGCCAGCCGCCGCAGUAA